Molecule: ribosomal RNA, 465 nt
Filed under: uncultured bacterium
Lineage: Bacteria
Description: bacterial SSU rRNA
Rfam family: Bacterial small subunit ribosomal RNA
Source: RNAcentral
AUUGAACGCUGGCGGUAUGCUUAAGACAUGCAAGUCGAACGGUAACAGGUUAAGCUGACGAGUGGCGGACGAGUGAGUAACGCGUGGGAAUCUACCUUGUAGUGGGGGAUAAGCCAGGGAAACUUGGACUAAUACCGCAUACGCCCUAAGGGGGAAAGGCGCAAGUCGCUAUAAGAUGAGCCCGCGUCUGAUUAGGUAGUUGGUGGGGUAAAGGCCUACCAAGCCGACGAUCAGUAGCUGGUCUGAGAGGAUGAUCAGCCACGUCGGGACUGAGACACGGCCCGGACUCCUACGGGAGGCAGCAGUCGGGAAUAUUGGACAAUGGGGGAAACCCUGAUCCAGCAAUACCGCGUGUGUGAAGAAGGCCUGCGGGUUGUAAAGCACUUUCAGUUGGGAAGAUAAUGACGUUACCAACAGAAGAAGCACCGGCUAACUCCGUGCCAGCAGCCGCGGUAAAUCGUGUGA